GUAGGUGGCAAGCGUUGUCCGGAAUUAUUGGGCGUAAAGCGCGCGCAGGCGGUUCUUUAAGUCUGAUGUGAAAGCCCACGGCUCAACCGUGGAGGGGUCAUUGGAAACUGGAGAACUUGAGUACAGAAGAGGAAAGCGGAAUUCCACGUGUAGCGGUGAAAUGCGUAGAGAUGUGGAGGAACACCAGUGGCGAAGGCGGCUUUCUGGUCUGUAACUGACGCUGAGGCGCGAAAGCGUGGGGAGCAAACAGGAUUAGAUACCCUGGUAGUCCACGCCGUAAACGAUGAGUGCUAAUGUUAGGGGGGUUUUCCGCCCCCCUUAGUGCUGCAGCUAACGCAUUAAGCACUCCGCCUGGGAGUACGGCCGCAAGGCUG
RNAcentral lists this ribosomal RNA (374 nucleotides) under uncultured organism. Its description in RNAcentral is "partial 16S ribosomal RNA". It matches the Rfam family "Bacterial small subunit ribosomal RNA", at positions 527 to 896 of the family's 1533-position model. The record is from RNAcentral.